AUUGAACGCUGGCGGCAGGCCUAACACAUGCAAGUCGAGCGGUAGAGAGGUGCUUGCAUCUCUUGAGAGCGGCGGACGGGUGAGUAAUGCCUAGGAAUCUGCCUAGUGGUGGGGGAUAACGUUCGGAAACGGACGCUAAUACCGCAUACGUCCUACGGGAGAAAGCGGGGGAUCUUCGGACCUCGCGCCAUUAGAUGAGCCUAGGUCGGAUUAGCUAGUUGGUGAGGUAAUGGCUCACCAAGGCGACGAUCCGUAACUGGUCUGAGAGGAUGAUCAGUCACACUGGAACUGAAACACGGUCCAGACUCCUACGGGAGGCAGCAGUGGGAAGUAUUGGACAAUGGGCGAAAGCCUGAUCCAGCCAUGCCGCGUGUGUGAAGAAGGUCUUCGGAUU
This 394-nucleotide ribosomal RNA is filed under the name uncultured bacterium. Its description in RNAcentral is "bacterial SSU rRNA". It matches the Rfam family "Bacterial small subunit ribosomal RNA", at positions 30 to 424 of the family's 1533-position model. The record is from RNAcentral.